Long non-coding RNA from Oxyura jamaicensis (ruddy duck), 1255 nucleotides. RefSeq lists it as uncharacterized. The record is from RefSeq and is a predicted model, not a curated record. The transcript has 2 exons. Lineage: Eukaryota; Metazoa; Chordata; Aves; Anseriformes; Anatidae.
UGAAUACCUGGCCAAACCAUGGCAGAUAUGCACCCUUGUGGCUAAGGACAUUAGCACCAGAGUUUUAACCCAGAACCCAGGGUAUCAGAAAUGCCGUUAAACUCUCUAGGGACUGCUGCUGUUAAUUUUGAGUGGGGAAAAUGGAGUCGUAGGGGACUAGGAAAUUCAAAAAAUUGCUUGAUAAGAUAAAUUGGCCCUUUAAAACCUCCAACCCACAGCAUUUCCUGAUUGUUUAGCUUGCUGUGGCAUACACUUGUUAUUUAUUUUUUAUUUUUUAAUCCUUGUAAGAGUUGAAUAAAGCACGUCUCUUCUGAGCGUGUGCGGAUGGCAGGCAGACACCGCGGUGGUGUUUGUGGCAGAUGAGAGAGCCCAUCGGUGACUUAAAGACUUUGUUGGAGCCAGCCUUAACAGAGCCUCCGUGCCGCGCUCUUGUUGUCUUAAUUGAUUUACGCAGCAUUGACAUGAGCCGUGUGCUGAUAGCGUGCCCAUUAGCAUAUCCAUAUGAAAAGCACGCAGUGGUUGGACAUUUACAACAUCCUGUUGUUCGGCCAGGAUUGUGCAUCUGCCAGCACAGCCUUCCACCGGGUCUUGAAAAGAGCAGCGGAAAUCUCGAGCCCAGGGAGGCUGUGGAGCAGCUGGACAGCCGUGUUAAAACGAGGUACCUGGAGAGGCGAACAAGGCGAAGAUUGUGAGGAGAACAAGCGGAACGGGGACUGUAAAGCAAUUCAGCGUGCGGGGGUUCGGGUGGGACAGUUGUGGGCUUACAAAGAGCCAUCUGAAGGAUGUGUGGGACCAGGAGUAAGAAAUCUUUGUUGCAACAGAAGCUAACCCGAGCAUGGCUCAGCGUGCUGCAGACGUGCAAAGUUUCCAUGUUUGCUACACACCAGCAGCAAAGGAGUCCUAGAAAGAGGCGUUCAGAUAAACUGUACAAACUCGGGGGUAAAUAUCCAUUCACUUGUCUUUACGCUUAAUUCUGUUAGAUUUAUCCACGGAUCCCAAAGGAGGCUGAGUGUUAUCUCCUGCCCUUCCUAGAUGAAGCCGCAGACACACCAAAGGAUGAAGAAGUUCUGUGUAGCCAUGCAGCUGUUCACUGGCAGAGCCAGAAGCAGAGCCAGGAACGGAUCCUCAGUGGCUGUAAAGUUGUUUGUAGCUGCACAGCAGUCUGUGGCCCCGGGUUUCUUAGAGCACUGGACUUGCCUAGGGAUUUUCUUCCCUAAACAGCAGUGUUCAUUAUUAUUUUAAAAAUAUCUGUCCC